AGGGUUGAAUGAACGAUGUCCAUAAAACCCCUGGCCUGGUACCUGGCAGGUUGGAGAGGUUCGUGGCCACGGAGAAGAAGCGCUCAGUACCAGGAGUGGUGUGAGCAGAACCAGUCCCUCCAGGGCUAAGCAGAAUGGGUCCCUCCAGCAUCCCUGAGCCUCCAGCAUCCGAGCCGCUCAGCACCCAGAAGAGCUGAUCAUUAAACAUUUACCAGCACAUCUCUGAUGAAGGCAUUGAGGAUGGGUGAAAUUUCUGGAAGACUGUGAGCUUGGUGGGUCUCUACCCUGGCUGCACGUGAGGGUCACCUGAGGAGCUCUUAGCAAAUCCCAACACUCAAACACCACUCCAGACGGAUUGAAUCAGAAACCGGAGGAAGCAGAGGAAUGGGGGCAGUGAGCUAGAGAGGGUCCCGGGGUCACAGGAGAAGACUGCCCGCCAGAGUGUGUUAGCCGGCGAACCGAAUGCCCUUUGACUGGGAGGUGCUGCUGACGCUGACGAGAGAGAAGAGACAAAGUCCAUGGAUGACCAAGGAGUGAGGUCCAGAGGCCACACGGCAGGAGAAGAGCCAGCCAGGCGGUGAUGGCUUCCGUCUGCACUGUUGCAAUACUGCUCUCGUCUGCGUGUUCUUGUCCACCCCACCCUCUACUGCCUGGUUGAUCUCCCGAAAACACUGUCAAGGGUUGAGCAUGGAUUGCAACACUUGUCGAGGGUGGGGCUGCGGCUUGGCUGAGAUCCGCGUCUGGCCGGCUCAAGGAAAGCCUUUGGAAUUCUGAAGACCAUUAUCCCCGAAAAUGCGUGUGAGACAGAGCGGGGUUUCAGGGACAGCCUGCAGAGGCAUGGAGGGGCCCCCAGAGC
This 856-nucleotide long non-coding RNA is filed under the name Equus caballus (horse). RNAcentral describes it as "lncRNA (ENSECAG00000045947.1)". Lineage: Eukaryota; Metazoa; Chordata; Mammalia; Perissodactyla; Equidae. The record is from RNAcentral.